RNAcentral lists this ribosomal RNA (431 nucleotides) under uncultured bacterium. RNAcentral describes it as "partial 16S ribosomal RNA". It matches the Rfam family "Bacterial small subunit ribosomal RNA", at positions 29 to 507 of the family's 1533-position model. The record is from RNAcentral.
AACGAACGCUGGCGGCAGGCCUAACACAUGCAAGUCGAGCGCCCUUUCGGGGGAGCGUCGGAUGGGUGAGUAACGCGUGGGAAUAUGCCCUUCUCUACGGAAUAGCCUCGGGAAACUGAGAGUAAUUCCGUAUACGCCCUGCGGGGGCAAGAUUUAUCGGGGAAGGAUUAGACCGCGUUGGAUUAGGUAGUUGGUGGGGUAAUGGCCUACCAAGCCGUCGCUCCAUAGCUGGGUUGAGAGGAUGAUCAGCCACACUGGGACUGAGACACGGCCCAGACUCCUACGCGAGGCAGCAGUGGGGAAUCUUGGACAAUGGGGGCAACCCUGAUCUAGCCAUGCCGCGUAAGUGAUGAAGGCCUUAGGGUUGUAAAGCUCUUUCAGCUGGGAAGAUAAUGACGUUACCAGCAGAAGAAGCCCCGGCUAACUCCGUG